Molecule: ribosomal RNA, 984 nt
Filed under: uncultured Bacteroides sp.
Lineage: Bacteria; Pseudomonadati; Bacteroidota; Bacteroidia; Bacteroidales; Bacteroidaceae
Description: bacterial SSU rRNA
Rfam family: Bacterial small subunit ribosomal RNA
Source: RNAcentral
UCUUGGCCAGCCUUCUGAAAGGGAGAUUAAUACAAGAUGUUAUCAUGAGUAAGCAUUUUCACAUGAUUAAAGGUUUGCCGGUGUAAGAUGGGGAUGCGUUCCAUUAGAUAGUAGGCGGGGUAACGGCCCACCUAGUCUUCGAUGGAUAGGGGUUCUGAGAGGAAGGUCCCCCACAUUGGAACUGAGACACGGUUCAAACUCCUACGGGAGGCAGCAGUGAGGAAUAUUGGUCAAUGGACGAGAGUCUGAACCAGCCAAGUAGCGUGAAGGAUGAAGGUUCUAUGGAUUGUAAACUUCUUUUAUACGGGAAUAAACGAAUCCACGUGUGGAUUUUUGCAUGUACCGUAUGAAUAAGGAUCGGCUAACUCCGUGCCAGCAGCCGCGGUAAUACGGAGGAUCCGAGCGUUAUCCGGAUUUAUUGGGUUUAAAGGGAGCGUAGAUGGGUUGUUAAGUCAGUUGUGAAAGUUUGCGGCUCAACCGUAAAAUUGCAAUUGAUACUGGCAGUCUUGAGUACAGUUGAGGUAGGCGGAAUUCGUGGUGUAGCGGUGAAAUGCUUAGAUAUCACGAAGAACUCCGAUUGCGAAGGCAGCUUACUAACCUGUAACUGACAUUGAUGCUCGAAAGUGUGGGUAUCAAACAGGAUUAGAUACCCUGGUAGUCCACACGGUAAACGAUGAAUACUCGCUGUAGGCGAUAUACGGUCUGCGGCCAAGCGAAAGCAUUAAGUAUUCCACCUGGGGAGUACGCCGGCAACGGUGAAACUCAAAGGAAUUGACGGGGGCCCGCACAAGCGGAGGAACAUGUGGUUUAAUUCGAUGAUACGCGAGGAACCUUACCCGGGCUUAAAUUGCAACCGAAUAUGGCGGAAACGCCAUAGCUAGCAAUAGCGGUUGUGAAGGUGCUGCAUGGUUGUCGUCAGCUCGUGCCGUGAGGUGUCGGCUUAAGUGCCAUAACGAGCGCAACCCUUGCCGAUAGUUACUAACA